AAGCGAAAGCAUUAAGUAUUCCACGUGGGGAGUACGCCGGCAACGGUGAAACUCAAAGGAAUUGACGGGGGCCCGCACAAGCGGAGGAACAUGUGGUUUAAUUCGAUGAUACGCGAGGAACCUUACCCGGGCUUAAAUUGCACCUGAAUAAUGUGGAAACAUGUUAGCCGUAAGGCAGGUGUGAAGGUGCUGCAUGGUUGUCGUCAGCUCGUGCCGUGAGGUGUCGGCUUAAGUGCCAUAACGAGCGCAACCCUUAUCUUCAGUUACUAACAGGUCAUGCUGAGGACUCUGGAGAGACUGCCGUCGUAAGAUGUGAGGAAGGUGGGGAUGACGUCAAAUCAGCACGGCCCUUACGUCCGGGGCUACACACGUGUUACAAUGGGAGGUACAGAAGGCCGCUACCUGGCGACAGGAUGCCAAUCCCCAAAACCUCUCUCAGUUCGGAUCGAAGUCUGCAACCCGACUUCGUGAAGCUGGAUUCGCUAGUAAUCGCGCAUCAGCCAUGGCGCGGUGAAUACGUUCCCGGGCCUUGCACACACCGCCCGUC
RNAcentral lists this ribosomal RNA (547 nucleotides) under uncultured bacterium. Its description in RNAcentral is "bacterial SSU rRNA". It matches the Rfam family "Bacterial small subunit ribosomal RNA", at positions 849 to 1398 of the family's 1533-position model. The record is from RNAcentral.